This 240-nucleotide unclassified non-coding RNA is filed under the name soil metagenome. RNAcentral's name for it is "partial contains 5.8S ribosomal RNA, internal transcribed spacer 2, and large subunit ribosomal RNA". The record is from RNAcentral.
AACAUCGCGCACCUGCGGGAACCUGCGGAGGGAUCAUUACCGUGUCGUGGGAGACACUCUGGCACGCCAGCACGCACGCUGCCCUGCCCAAGCGCGCGCGCAGCUGCUCCCCCAUGCCCGCAUGGGGGGCGUCAUCCUUGCAUUCAGUACUAGUAUUGCCCCGCAAUAUCAAGCACCGAGGAAAAAAAAGACAAAUCAAACAUGCAAGCAGAAAAAUAGAAAAAAGACGCAAAAAAGCAA